This 568-nucleotide ribosomal RNA is filed under the name Nitzschia palea. Its description in RNAcentral is "eukaryotic LSU rRNA". It matches the Rfam family "Eukaryotic large subunit ribosomal RNA", at positions 30 to 670 of the family's 3401-position model. Lineage: Eukaryota; Bacillariophyta; Bacillariophyceae; Bacillariales; Bacillariaceae. The record is from RNAcentral.
GAAUUUAAGCAUAUAAUUAAGCGGAGGAAAAGAAACUAACCAGGAUUCCCUCAGUAAGGGCGACUGAAGCGGGAAGAGCUCAGGAUGUGAAUCUGCGCCUUUGUGCGCCGAAUUGUGGUCUGUCGACGGUGGCAUUACUGGCCGGGCCAAGUCCUUUGGAACAAGGCAGCUGAGAGGGUGAGACUCCCGUCCGCCUGGCUAGGUGAGCCACUAGUCUACGAGUCGAGUUGUUUGGGAUUGCAGCUCUAAGUGGGUGGUAAAUUCCAUCUAAAGCUAAAUAUUGGUGGGAGACCGAUAGCGUACAAGUACCGUGAGGGAAAGAUGCAAAGAACUUUGAAAAGAGAGUUAAAGAGUACCUGAAAUUGCUGAAAGGGAAGCGAAGGAAACCAGUGUCGGCUCAGUCAUAUUUCCCUGUCCGCUUGCGGUUUGGGCGCUGUGUCUGGCCUGUGUCGUCCUUGGUUGGAUCUGCUGGAAGAGCGCAGUGAGAGUUGAUCUCUGUUGCUAGCAGCGGGUCUGACUGAGGAGGACGAAAUGGUUUUCUUUACCCCGUCUUGAAACACGGAACCAG